This 442-nucleotide ribosomal RNA is filed under the name uncultured bacterium. RNAcentral describes it as "partial 16S ribosomal RNA". It matches the Rfam family "Bacterial small subunit ribosomal RNA", at positions 338 to 795 of the family's 1533-position model. The record is from RNAcentral.
GCUACGGGUGGCAGCAGUAGGGAAUCUUGCACAAUGGGCGAAAGCCUGAUGGAGCAAAGCCGCGUGCAGGAUGAAGGCCCUCGGGUUGUAAACUGCCUUUAUAAGCGAGAAAAAUGAUGGUAACUUAUGAAUAAGGAGCGGCUAACUACGUGCCAGCAGCCGCGGUCAUAAGCGGGAGCCGAGCAUUAUCCGGAGUGACGGGGUGUAAAGAGUGGUGUAUGUGGCCUAAUAGGUAGCUGGUGAAAUCUGGUGGCUCAAACAUUCAGACUAUUAGCUAAACUGUUAAGCUCGAGCCCGUUAGAGGUAACUGGAAUUUGUGGUGUAGCGGUGAAAUCCGUAGAUAUUAGGAAGAACACCGAUAGCGUAGGCAGCUUGCUGGAACGGUUCUGACGCUGAGGCACGAAAGCGUAGGGAGCAAACAGGAUUAGAUACCCGAGUAGUC